UCUCUAGUAUGAACUGUCUUUGUGAUUCUUUGAAAACUCCAACAGCCACUAGAGAGAGAAAACAAAAAGAUCAGUGUGUCCAACGAGCAUUAAUUUUCGGCGCCGGAAGAAGACCGGUAGUGUAGUUCCUUAGGAGUUAGAAGUUUUGAGGAGAUCCUUCGAUAGUCUGGAAGAUAGUGCGGUAUGGAUGGACUUCUCUGUUGGUGGUUAGUUUGAUGGGCUUGACAAAGAUCUUUAUUUCUUUUUGGUGUGUGGUGCUGGUUGAAGCCGCCUCCAUCAGAUUUGGUCAAUCCAAUGUCUUUUGAGUCGUUUGUGGUUUGUGGUUUGGUCCUUCCUGCUCAUCUCUUCCCUGAUUUCCGGUUUUCAAAGGACGUAUGCUUUUGUCUUGUCAGUUUUAUCCUUCUCAGUCUCCACUCUGUCAAUUAGGAGUCUUUUUUCUAUCACGGUGGUUUCAUGUCUCUGAUAUCCUGUCGAUGCCUCGUUCUUAGUGGUGAAGAGGUUUUAUGCGAUGAGGCUAUGUUUCUUUAGUUUGGGUCUGGUUCAAGAAAGUGGUUCUUGUCAUCUUCAUGAGGUUUAGUGUUCUUGUUAUGGUUUCAGUCAAGCUGCGAAUUAGUUUGGGUUUGGAUGGGUUUUUGAUAUUAUUCUUAUGUUUUUGAUACUUGCUUCUGGCUUCAUUUGGCGUUUUCAGAUAGUGUCUUUAAGGCUCUUGGCUCUUCCAGCGGUUAUGUUGAUGCUAUUUGUAUAAUUAUGAUUCUGAUGGAAAGAUUUGUAUGGAGAUGUUUAAUUUUUAGCUUGUUUUCAAUGUCUUAUGAAAAUGUCGGCUUAUGGUUUCAGUUGAUAUCUAUAGAAAUAUUUUCUUAAGACUUUUUUAGUCUUAGUA
Raphanus sativus (radish) is the source of this 880-nucleotide long non-coding RNA. RefSeq lists it as uncharacterized. The transcript is spliced from 2 exons. The record is from RefSeq and is a predicted model, not a curated record. Lineage: Eukaryota; Viridiplantae; Streptophyta; Magnoliopsida; Brassicales; Brassicaceae.